CCUACGGGUGGCUGCAGUGAGGAAUAUUGGUCAAUGGGCGGAAGCCUGAACCAGCCAAGUCGCGUGAGGGAUUAAGGCCCUGCGGGUCGUAAACCUCUUUUGCCGGGGAGCAGAGGUCCGGACGUGUACGGGCCGGGAGAGUACCCGGAGAAAAAGCACGGGCUAACUCCGUGCCAGCAGCCGCGGUAAUACGGAGGAUGCGAGCGUUAUCCGGAUUUAUUGGGUUUAAGGGGUGCGUAGGCGGAAGGUUAAGUCAGCGGUCAAAUGUCGGUGCUCAACACCGGCCUGCCGUUGAAACUGGUCUUCUUGAGUGAGCGAGAAGUAUGCGGAAUGCGUGGUGUAGCGGUGAAAUGCAUAGAUAUCACGCAGAACUCCGAUUGCGAAGGCAGCAUACCGGCGCUCAACUGACGCUGAGGCACGAAAGCGUGGGGAUCGAACAGGAUUAGAUACCCCUGUAGUC
Molecule: ribosomal RNA, 460 nt
Filed under: uncultured bacterium
Lineage: Bacteria
Description: partial 16S ribosomal RNA
Rfam family: Bacterial small subunit ribosomal RNA
Source: RNAcentral